Molecule: transfer RNA, 73 nt
Filed under: Dendroperdix sephaena (crested francolin)
Lineage: Eukaryota; Metazoa; Chordata; Aves; Galliformes; Phasianidae
Description: tRNA-Val
Source: RNAcentral
CAAGACGUAGCUACAACCCCAAAGCAUUCAGCUUACACCUGAAAGAUACCCUCAGCCAAUAGGGUCGCCUUGA